Molecule: long non-coding RNA, 533 nt
Filed under: Vitis vinifera (wine grape)
Lineage: Eukaryota; Viridiplantae; Streptophyta; Magnoliopsida; Vitales; Vitaceae
Description: long non-coding RNA (VVIN_LNC003481)
Source: RNAcentral
UUUUAUGAUAGGCAUGUGUUUGUUAUUCCGGUGAAUGUGUUAUGGGGAAGUGGUUAGUGUUCCCUUAGGUGGUUGGAGAGGCUGAGGUGACAAGGCAAACUGGAGCGGAGGGGAACACUGAAACUGCCGGCUUAGGGGGUCCCUAGGGUUAGGCACUGUCAAUAUAUAUACACAGAGACAUGUGUGGAGAGAGAGAGAGAGAGAGAGAGUGUGUCUUAUAUUACUGACAAAGAAAAACAAAGACAAAGACAAGAAAGAUGAUGUGAGGAAGGAAGGGUGGUGGUGUGAAGUUGAACAAGGUCCAUGGGGCAAGCGUCCUAUCAAGAAGCAAUGUGCACUGCAAUUGGGGUUUGGUCUCUUCUGGUUUAUGUUUGCACGUGAUGGCUAUGCCACCUCCUCUUUCUUUCAAAAGCUAAAGCUUCAUGUGUUGGGGCCCGAGGGAUGGUGGAGUAGGACCUGGGAUUGAAUGGGUGGCUUCGUGGAAAGGGGGGUUUACAAUUUACAAUGCUCUUUUUAAGUUUUGGCCUUUCUUC